AUUGUCUAGUAAUUUGCAGUGAGGCAGUACUGGAUCCAGAAAAUGCUGUAGUGGCUGCAAAUGAGCAGGUGUAAAGGCCUAUUGAUGAAGGUGUUCAACCAUGCUCUACUUUGUUUAUAACAAAUCUAAGUCCAAAUUGCAAUGAAGAUGAACUGAAGCAAGUUCUAUCUCAGUAUCCUGGAUUCAGUAUGGUCAAGAUUUGGGCUAAAAGUCGAAUGCCAGUUGCAUUUGCUGAUUUUGAGGUAUGCAAACAUAAUGAUGCAACAUAUAAGCCUUUGUUUUGUUAGAUUUUUUAAAUGACCCAAGAAUCUUGUGAUUAGUGGAAUGCCAGUUGCAUUUGCUGAUUUUGAGGUAUCCAAACAUAA
RNA transcript from Durio zibethinus, 365 nucleotides. RefSeq lists it as uncharacterized. Lineage: Eukaryota; Viridiplantae; Streptophyta; Magnoliopsida; Malvales; Malvaceae. The record is from RefSeq and is a predicted model, not a curated record.